This 864-nucleotide ribosomal RNA is filed under the name Amanita mira. RNAcentral's name for it is "eukaryotic LSU rRNA". It matches the Rfam family "Eukaryotic large subunit ribosomal RNA", at positions 77 to 920 of the family's 3401-position model. Lineage: Eukaryota; Fungi; Basidiomycota; Agaricomycetes; Agaricales; Amanitaceae. The record is from RNAcentral.
CCCUUAGUAACUGCGAGUGAAGAGGGAAGAGCUCAAAUUUGAAAUCUGACAGUGUUUUGCUGUUCGAGUUGUAAUCUAGAGAAAGUCUGCCCGUGCUGGACCAUGUACAAGUCUCCUGGAAUGGAGCGUCAUAGAGGGUGAGAAUCCCGUCUUUGACAUGGACUGCCAGUGCAUUGUGGUGUGCUCUCAAAGAGUCGAGUUGUUUGGGAAUGCAGCUCUAAAUGGGUGGUAAACUCCAUCUAAAGCUAAAUAUUGGCGAGAGACCGAUAGCGAACAAGUACCGUGAGGGAAAGAUGAAAAGAACUUUGGAAAGAGAGUUAAACAGUAUGUGAAAUUGUUGAAAGGGAAACGCUUAAAGUCAGUCGUGUCGGCCAGGGAUCAACCUAGUUUAUCUUUGCUGGGUGUACUUCCUGAUCUGAUGGGCCAACAUCAGUUUUGACUGCUGGAAAAGGGCAGAGGGAAUGUGGCACCUUUGGGUGUGUUAUAGCUCUCUGUCAUAUGCAGUGGUUGGGACUGAGGAAAGCAGCAUGCCAUAUAGGCCGGGUUUCGACCACGUUCAUGCUGAGGAUGUUGGCAUAAUGGCUUUAAUCGACCCGUCUUGAAACACGGACCAAGGAGUCUAACAUGCCUGCGAGUAUUUGGGUGGAAAACCCAAGUGCGGAAUGAAAGUGAAAGGUUGAGAUCCCUGUCAUGGGGAGCAUCGAUGCCCGGACCUGAGCUUUUAGCAAAGGAUCUGCGGUAGAGCAUGCAUGUUAGGACCCGAAAGAUGGUGAACUAUGCCUGAAUAGGGUGAAGCCAGAGGAAACUCUGGUGGAGGCUCGUAGCGAUUCUGACGUGCAAAUCGAUCGUCAAAUUUGGGUAUAG